This 897-nucleotide ribosomal RNA is filed under the name uncultured Bacillota bacterium. Its description in RNAcentral is "bacterial SSU rRNA". It matches the Rfam family "Bacterial small subunit ribosomal RNA", at positions 15 to 917 of the family's 1533-position model. The record is from RNAcentral. Lineage: Bacteria; Bacillati; Bacillota.
GAUUAUGGCUCAGGACGAACGCUGGCGGCGUGCCUAACACAUGCAAGUCGAGCGGGGAUGGUAAGGAGCUUGCUUCGGACCAUUCUAGCGGCGGACGGGUGAGUAACGCGUGAGCAAUCUGUCCUGCACAGGGGGAUAACACUUGGAAACAGGUGCUAAUACCGCAUAAGACCACAGCGCCACAUGGCGCAGGGGUCAAAGGAGGAAUCCGGUGCAGGGUGAGCUCGCGUCCCAUUAGAUAGUUGGCGGGGUAACGGCCCACCAAGUCGACGAUGGGUAGCCGACCUGAGAGGGUGAUCGGCCACACUGGGACUGAGACACGGCCCAGACUCCUACGGGAGGCAGCAGUGGGGAAUAUUGGGCAAUGGGCGCAAGCCUUACCCAGCAACGCCGCGUGAGGGAAGAAGGUUUUCGGAUUGUAAACCUCUGUCCUGGGGGACGAAGGAAGUGACGGUACCCCGGGAGGAAGCCCCGGCUAACUACGUGCCAGCAGCCGCGGUAAUACGUAGGGGGCGAGCGUUGUCCGGAAUUAUUGGGCGUAAAGGGCGCGUAGACGGCCGAGUAAGUUAUAGGUGAAAGCCCAUCUUUCAAGGAUGGAAUUGCCUGUAAUACUGCCUGGCUUGAGUGCAGGAGAGGGAAGCGGAAUUCCUAGUGUAGCGGUGAAAUGCGUAGAUAUUAGGAGGAACACCAGUGGCGAAGGCGGCUUUCUGGACUGUAACUGACGUUGAGGCGCGAAAGCGUGGGGAGCAAACAGAAUUAGAUACCCUGGUAGUCCACGCCGUAAAUGAUGGAUGCUAGGUGUGGGAGGUAUCGACCCCUUCCGUGCCGGAGUUAACGCAAUAAGCAUCCCGCCUGGGGAGUACGGCCGCAAGGUUGCAACUCAAAGGAAUUGACGGA